GACGAACGCUGGCGGCGUGCUUAACACAUGCAAGUCGAACGGAAAGGCCCUGCUUUUGUGGGGUGCUCGAGUGGCGAACGGGUGAGUAACACGUGAGUAACCUGCCCUUGACUUUGGGAUAACUUCAGGAAACUGGGGCUAAUACCGGAUAGGAGCUCCUGCUGCAUGGUGGGGGAUGGAAAGUUUCGGCGGUUGGGGAUGGACUCGCGGCUUAUCAGCUUGUUGGUGGGGUAGUGGCUUACCAAGGCUUUGACGGGUAGCCGGCCUGAGAGGGUGACCGGCCACAUUGGGACUGAGAUACGGCCCAGACUCCUACGGGAGGCAGCAGUGGGGAAUAUUGCACAAUGGGCGGAAGCCUGAUGCAGCAACGCCGCGUGCGGGAUGACGGCCUUCGGGUUGUAAACCGCUUUCGCCUGUGACGAAGCGUGAGUGACGGUAAUGGGUAAAGAAGCACCGGCUAACUACGU
Molecule: ribosomal RNA, 467 nt
Filed under: uncultured bacterium
Lineage: Bacteria
Description: partial 16S ribosomal RNA
Rfam family: Bacterial small subunit ribosomal RNA
Source: RNAcentral